AAGUUCGAAAGAUAUAUUUUUGCAGUUACCUUAUUCAGCAGGUAUUUAAUUUUUCGUCCCAUUAAAUUUUUCAAUAGAUCGAAUUUUAAAAACAUCACAGUGAUGUAAAUCUCGAAAACCGAGGAAUUGGCAUCCCAAUCAGGCAUCGAAAAGAAAACGUCAAAAAAAGCGAAAAGCUGAAAUUUUUAUUUAUGUUUGUUUUGGUUCUUUAUUCUGUGAUGAAAAUCCGGUGAACGGUGUCGUGUGGUCAGGAAUGUGGAUUGCAGUGUUUCGUUCCGAGUCGGCACUGCCGACAAAAAUUCGCAGAUUGAGAAACAGCCGGAACAAUCUAUGAUGUCAAUCUUCAUCCAGUACCCGAUAGUCUGUACUCGUUCGGUGGUUCCGCGACCGUUUCUGUCCCAAGAGAUCCAGCAUUAAGUCCUGACAUCAACACGAGCGAUCACCACUUCCGAAUGGAAUGCGGUUAAAGGGCCGCAGCUACGGCCAAAUCUGCUCGAUAUUGAAUCCGAUGAACAUCGAUAGCGAUGUGCUCCACAGAUACGGUAGAGGGUUCCCACACGUAGGAAGAAUAUUUCUCCUGUACUGAGCCUUGUGUGACAGUGACGCCGUUCGGGAAAAUUAGACGAUUCGAGACUGCAGUCACAGAAAAAGUCAAUUGCAACGGCUUUCUCGAUAUCGGAUUGAAAUAUAAAAUUGUGGAUGCUUCACUGAGGCGGUUAAGAUUUAUACGAAAUGGCCCAAGGCAUUAACAGUACGCUGAGAAAAUUCAACUGUUCUUGGGAAAAGUUGAUCUUGGGAGCAAAUUGGUAAACCAGUAGACUUUGUAAGGAAAAUAGUUCUUGAAUCUAAUAAGAUAUCACAGGAUUUGAAGUUGCUUCAUAAAACUAUUCAGGCCCAGUUCUGAGAUGAUGUCGUAUAUGGAAGGUACAUUAGUUAGUCGUUCUGCUCCUCAGACGAAAACUGUCGACAACCGACUUAUCAAGCCGCUCGUUAGACCACCAUUAAAACGCCCAAGGACAUUUCAACAAUGGAAACGACAAAUGUCACCGGUAAGCAAUUUCCAAUUAUUCAUUUUUUAAAUAAGUCCACACACUUCAAUUUCUAUUUGGAAUGCAUUCAAAUAUGCGGGAAUAGCUUAAAACCUAAACUCACUACUGAUAACAAGUUGAUGUCAUAGAAUGAAUAAAUGAAGACGCUAUAAUGUACGAUGUAUGCCAAAGCAUAAUUAAAAUCGCCUCUAUGUAUGCAAUGAUGUUUGCAAGUAUGUGGGGUGAAGUUGGCUAUGGCUGAACAAAUUCGAUUUUUCCAAAACUCACCCCAAUUUUUUUUUAAAUAAACGGAUGCUAAAGACUUAAUAGAAUGUUCAGUAUUCGAAAACCCGUACUCACAAGACCUCCAAACAUCAAUUUUGUAUUUAAGUAAAACUAAAAUUAAAUGAUUCCGUUCAUACGAACAUGUUGGAAAAGUAUUUUUUCCCCAGUACAGUUUUGAUCAUAAUGUUGUCGCUUUUUGAAUCAGUAGAGGAAUCAAUAUACACAAAAAAUAGUUUUGAAGUUGUUGAUAAUAAAAAGUGCCCGGUGGCCGAUAACCCUAACCUUUUUAUAGCAGUGUAAUAAAACAUAUUGUUGCAUAUCUGUAGGCGAUAUUUUUUAUUGAAAUGGUAUGCAUGAAGUUGUAGGUGUAGUAUCUAAGCAAUCAUCGCUAUGUACACAUGCCAAGUAGACCUAGCUAUGAAAAUACAUUCACUUAUUAUUAUAUCGCUCAUUAAAACGUCUCAAUGUAUAGAAACGGAUGAAGAUGUGUAGUGCAGAAUUAUUUUUUAAUUAACCUCAACAGCGGAGUGAUGCUGUUUUGAAAAUCAUAUUGAAUUUAAAGGCUGUACCUAGAAUACUUGUUCUAAUAACUGAAUUGUUAACGAGGAUGUCUCAUGAAAUUUUACAAAUGCUACAACAAGAUGGUAGUUCGAUUGCACAAACAAAAAUUACACGAAAUAUUGGAAGCAGAAACGAUAGGUACUACAAGUGGAUAAUUUAAGUUUUGUCGGUCAGAAAAGUCUCUCCAAUAUUGUUUUUUUGCAGACUAUUUGGUACUAUUGACAAAUUAGACCGAAUUGACCAUUAGAGUUCUAUCGGUUCAACUUCGAUAAGCGACAUACUGUACGUUGACAGCGAAACGACCAAAUAAAAAAAACGGUUUUCUGAGUGUCUGGAGGAAUGUUUGAAGUUGUAGAACGUUACUACUUUGGCAUAUUAACUGUUUUUUUCUAGAAAAUUAUUUAUAUCAGUCUGUAGAAUGUUUUACAAAUUAUAAAG
This is a long non-coding RNA of Uranotaenia lowii, 2312 nucleotides long. RefSeq lists it as uncharacterized. NCBI's taxonomy places the organism in Eukaryota, Metazoa, Arthropoda, Insecta, Diptera, Culicidae. The transcript has 4 exons. The record is from RefSeq and is a predicted model, not a curated record.